GCUCGAUGGCGUAGGGGAUGCGCUCGGGCGCGUAACCCGAGAAGUGGUGGUUCUGGCCUGCCAUGGGGCCC
RNAcentral lists this transfer RNA (71 nucleotides) under Achromobacter ruhlandii. Its description in RNAcentral is "tRNA-Thr". The record is from RNAcentral. Lineage: Bacteria; Pseudomonadati; Pseudomonadota; Betaproteobacteria; Burkholderiales; Alcaligenaceae.